GGUGCUUGCACUUGAAAGAUUUAACAUUGAGACGAGUGGCGAACUGGUGAGUAACACGUGGGUAACCUGCCCUUGAAGUAGGGGAUAACACUUGGAAACAGGUGCUAAUACCGUAUAACAACCAAAACCACCUGGUUUUGGUUUAAAAGACGGCUUCGGCUGUCACUUUAGGAUGGACCCGCGGCGCAUUAGCUUGUUGGUAAGGUAACGGCUUACCAAGGCGAUGAUACGUAGCCGACCUGAGAGGGUAAUCGGCCACAUUGGGACUGAGACACGGCCCAAACUCCUACGGGAGGCAGCAGUAGGGAAUCUUCCACAAUGGACGAAAGUCUGAUGGAGCAACGCCGCGUGAGUGAUGAAGGGUUUCGGCUCGUAAAACUCUGUUGUUGGAGAAGAACAGGUGUCAGAGUAACUGUUGACAUCUUGACGGUAUCCAACCAGAAAGCCACGGCUAACUACGUGCCAGCAGCCGCGGUAAUACGUAGGUGGCAAGCGUUGUCCGGAUUUAUUGGGCGUAAAGCGAGCGCAGGCGGUUUUUUAGGUCUGAUGUGAAAGCCUUCGGCUUAACCGGAGAAGUGCAUCGGAAACCGGGAGACUUGAGUGCAGAAGAGGACAGUGGAACUCCAUGUGUAGCGGUGAAAUGCGUAGAUAUAUGGAAGAACACCAGUGGCGAAGGCGGCUGUCUGGUCUGUAACUGACGCUGAGGCUCGAAAGCAUGGGUAGCGAACAGGAUUAGAUACCCUGGUAGUCCAUGCCGUAAACGAUGAGUGCUAAGUGUUGGAG
This 783-nucleotide ribosomal RNA is filed under the name uncultured bacterium. RNAcentral describes it as "bacterial SSU rRNA". It matches the Rfam family "Bacterial small subunit ribosomal RNA", at positions 68 to 828 of the family's 1533-position model. The record is from RNAcentral.